AACGAACGCUGGCGGCAUGCCUAACACAUGCAAGUCGAACGAGACCUUCGGGUCUAGUGGCGCACGGGUGCGUAACGCGUGGGAACCUGCCCUUAGGUUCGGAAUAACUCCCCGAAAGGGGUGCUAAUACCGGAUAAUGUCUUCGGACCAAAGAUUUAUCGCCUUUGGAUGGGCCCGCGUUGGAUUAGCUAGUUGGUAGGGUAAAAGCCUACCAAGGCGACGAUCCAUAGCUGGUCUGAGAGGAUGAUCAGCCACACUGGGACUGAGACACGGCCCAGACUCCUACGGGAGGCAGCAGUGGGGAAUAUUGGACAAUGGGCGAAAGCCUGAUCCAGCAAUGCCGCGUGAGUGAUGAAGGCCUUAGGGUUGUAAAGCUCUUUUACCCGGGAUGAUAAUGACAGUACCGGGAGAAUUAGCGCCGGCUAACUCCGUG
This 433-nucleotide ribosomal RNA is filed under the name uncultured bacterium. Its description in RNAcentral is "partial 16S ribosomal RNA". It matches the Rfam family "Bacterial small subunit ribosomal RNA", at positions 29 to 507 of the family's 1533-position model. The record is from RNAcentral.